GGACUGAUUGAGAAAUUUAAAAAUUAUUCUCAUUUAAGAAAAAAUCUCCUAUAUUCUGGAUAUCUCUACACCCGAUAUCUCUAGACCUCCUGCUGCUCCCCAUGCCAUCUCACCUUUGGAGAACUGAAUUUUUAUUAAAGAUAACAUCCCUACUGAUGACAACCUUCUUCUCCAAGGGAUCUCACAAUCGAUAUCUCUUAACUCCUCGC
This 209-nucleotide long non-coding RNA is filed under the name Elaeis guineensis (African oil palm). RNAcentral's name for it is "long non-coding RNA (EGUI_LNC039754)". The record is from RNAcentral. Lineage: Eukaryota; Viridiplantae; Streptophyta; Magnoliopsida; Arecales; Arecaceae.